AUGAGUUUGCUUCGAUAUUUAAACAUUGCGAGACCAGAUAAUUAUGAACUUGAUUUUCUUAUCGGAGUGAGGAACAACAGUAACACGGUCGAUUACCUAUCUUUUCUCGGAGGUAGAACUCCUGGCGUCAAUGUGAGAAGAAUGAUGUGCCGACAGGACCAAUGCCAUUUGAGGCCUGCCAGAAGAACCACCCAAGACCCUGAAGAAGACGGUUGAAAUUUGCAUUUCAGAUACCCUGUGAUAUGCUCCCCACAGACGGAGUCAGGUGGAUAAAGCAGGUGGACCGUCUGUGACAGAGGACGAUAAUGCAAGUGGACUGUCUGUGACGGAGAACGAUCAUGCAGGUGGACCGUCUGUGGUUCAGAGCCAUGAAAAUAUAGCAGUGCUUGAGGGGAGCAGAAGCCCCUCAUUGUUGGAGGACUCUGACAAAAAUUUUUUUUCUGUCUUUUUGAAGUUUAAAAUGAAUAAAAUUAAUCUUUUUUUCUCAUCGAUCUAAUCAAUAAAUAAGCUAAAAUUUCUAAAAAUAUGUUUUUGCUUAGUCAUAAUUAUUAUUUCAUUGUUCGAAGACAUUUUAUGCCUUUUUGUCGAUUUUUUCUUGUAUUAUUGUAUUACAAACUGUAUUUUGUGUUACUGUUGCCAAAAAGUUAAGUUAAAAGUUUAUGUUUAAAGUGUGGGCUUUGCCAGUUUUUGUUGAUUUUUUGGUCUUUUUGGUUCUAAAGGAUCGUGUAGUGGGGAAAUGAAAAUGAAUGAAAAGUUACUGCAAAACAUGUAUAGAUUUUUUUAAAAGCAUGUUAUCUAACUCUUAAAUAGUAUCAUUCCAGGAACAUUAAAAACUUUCAUCUGAAAAUGUUUUAAGAACAUUUGGGCAUAAUGUUCUAACAGAG
This 884-nucleotide long non-coding RNA is filed under the name Sparus aurata (gilthead seabream). Its description in RNAcentral is "lncRNA (ENSSAUG00010016386.1)". Lineage: Eukaryota; Metazoa; Chordata; Actinopteri; Spariformes; Sparidae. The record is from RNAcentral.